RNAcentral lists this ribosomal RNA (394 nucleotides) under uncultured bacterium. RNAcentral describes it as "bacterial SSU rRNA". It matches the Rfam family "Bacterial small subunit ribosomal RNA", at positions 28 to 419 of the family's 1533-position model. The record is from RNAcentral.
GAUGAACGCUAGCGGCAGGCUUAAUACAUGCAAGUCGAGGGGCAGCACGAAUAGCAAUAUUUGGUGGCGACCGGCAAACGGGUGCGGAACACGUACGCAACCUUCCCAAAAUUGGUGAGUAGCCCUCCGAAAGGAGGAUUAAUACACCGUAACAUAAUUUGAUGGCAUCAUUGGAUUAUUAUAGCUCCGGCGAUUUUGGAUGGGCGUGCGCCUGAUUAGGUAGUUGGUAGGGUAACGGCCUACCAAGCCAACGAUCAGUAACUGGUGUGAGAGCACGACCAGUCACACGGGCACUGAGACACGGGCCCGACUCCUACGGGAGGCAGCAGUAAGGAUAUUGGGUCAAUGGACGCAAGUCUGAACCAGCCAUGCCGCGUGAAGGAUGAAGGUCCUC